RNAcentral lists this long non-coding RNA (271 nucleotides) under Prunus persica (peach). Its description in RNAcentral is "long non-coding RNA (PPER_LNC005554)". Lineage: Eukaryota; Viridiplantae; Streptophyta; Magnoliopsida; Rosales; Rosaceae. The record is from RNAcentral.
UCCAUUCGAAUCCUCAAUCUCUAAUUUAAAUUCUCAUACUUUUUCCAAUCAAAUUGGACACUCCUAGACUUUUAUGUAGCCAACCUUAGCUCACGGUACGGACAGGUAUUGUAGAAUCGGUUUAGUUUCUUUUAUUCAUGUUUUGGCAAAUCUUUUGUGUCCAUUCGAAUUCUCAAUCUCUAAUUUGAAUUCUCAUACUUUUUUGAAUCAAAUUGGCCACUUCUAGGCUUUGCUCUAGCCAACCCUAGCUCACUGUACAGAUGAGUGUUAG